AACGAACGCUGGCGGCAUGCCUAACACAUGCAAGUCGAACGAGACCUUCGGGUCUAGUGGCGCACGGGUGCGUAACGCGUGGGAACCUGCCCUUAGGUUCGGAAUAACUCCCCGAAAGGGGUGCUAAUACCGGAUAAUGUCUUCGGACCAAAGAUUUAUCGCCUUUGGAUGGGCCCGCGUUGGAUUAGCUAGUUGGUAGGGUAAAAGCCUACCAAGGCGACGAUCCAUAGCUGGUCUGAGAGGAUGAUCAGCCACACUGGGACUGAGACACGGCCCAGACUCCUACGGGAGGCAGCAGUGGGGAAUAUUGGACAAUGGGCGGAAGCCUGAUCGAGCAAGGCCGCGUGAGUGAUGAAGGCCGGAGGGUUGUAAAGCUCUUUUACCCGGGAUGAUAAUGACAGUACCGGGAGAAUAAGCUCCGGCUAACUCCGUG
RNAcentral lists this ribosomal RNA (433 nucleotides) under uncultured bacterium. Its description in RNAcentral is "partial 16S ribosomal RNA". It matches the Rfam family "Bacterial small subunit ribosomal RNA", at positions 29 to 507 of the family's 1533-position model. The record is from RNAcentral.